RNAcentral lists this long non-coding RNA (574 nucleotides) under Homo sapiens (human). Its description in RNAcentral is "non-protein coding lnc-RDH11-4:5". The record is from RNAcentral. Lineage: Eukaryota; Metazoa; Chordata; Mammalia; Primates; Hominidae.
AAAAGUGUUUAGUAAGCUAUAAAGUACUUCUGUUUUUCCAUUCAUUCAUUCAGUUCAUAUACUCGAAUGCCUGCUCUGUGCUUGCUGGGCACUAUGCAAGGCAUUCAGAAUGAGGGGAACAUGCCAGACAUGGUCCCUGCCUCAUGGAGCAUAUGGUUAUUUACUUGGUGUAGUCCAAAUAAAUAAGUAGUUUGAUUAGUCCAAACUAGGCAUAUUUCCAAAUGAGUGAGGGAAGAACCAGGCUAUCUGCUCACUACUUUCUGCCUUCCCAGCUGGCAGAGAUGGAGGAGGAGCUACGUUAUGCACCCCUGUCUUUCCGAAACCCCAUGAUGUCUAAGCUUCGAAACUACCGGAAGGACCUUGCUAAACUCCAUCGGGAGGUGAGAAGCACACCUUUGACAGCCACACCUGGAGGCCGAGGAGACAUGAAAUAUGGCAUAUAUGCUGUAGAGAAUGAGCAUAUGAAUCGGCUACAGUCUCAAAGGGCAAUGCUUCUGCAGGGCACUGAAAGCCUGAACCGGGCCACCCAAAGUAUUGAACGUUCUCAUCGGAUUGCCACAGAGACUGACCAGAU